Molecule: long non-coding RNA, 2508 nt
Filed under: Homo sapiens (human)
Lineage: Eukaryota; Metazoa; Chordata; Mammalia; Primates; Hominidae
Description: non-protein coding lnc-BRD3OS-2:3
Source: RNAcentral
AAACACACCAACCCCAACAAGACCUGGAAGGCUGAGGGGUGCAGUAUAAAAAGCCCCUGGCACACACGGGCAGGCGACUGCCCCACCCUCGGUGGUGAGGCAUGGUGAUCUCACCUCUCCUCUCCUGGAACACAAACCCUGCCCUCUGAGACACCUACACCCCACACACUCAGAUUUUGCAAAAACUCGAGGACAACACGAUGCCAUGAUAAGUGGCCCUGCCUCCCCCAGAAGCCCUUGGCAUAGAAGCGGAGCCCCCAGGCAGCCUGGCACCAGCCAGUGGGAGGGGCAGGGAGGGAGGGCAGCCAGAGGGCAAAGGGGUGGCAUCCCCCUCAAGCCCCCUCCGCUACCAGGUACUGGGACCCACCACCUGGCAAGGACCACGCCGGGCAGGAGGAGACCAGGAGGCGACAGUCAGACAGAGAAGCUGAAGAAACCAGAAGGCGUCUGUGCAAGAGAGCCCCACACAGACACUGGAAAGAACCAGGGCAACCUGCAGACCAACUCGAAAGACCUCCCCUAGGGCGACGGAAAUGAGAUGAGGCAAACAGCUUCCCGACCAGAGCCCAUGCACCUUCCACGUCUGUGCAGGGAGCUCGGGGCCACAUCCCGAGAUGGGAAAGACAACUGAGGCUUCCACAAAGAAAUUACAAUGAAACAGACACUGGCCAGGCCAGCUGAAAAUCAGUGAUGGACUACGGUCCAAAUCAACGUGGAGGUUCCAACAAGAGAAGGACGGUGGUGGGGUCACCCUACCCCAGCCUGCGAGUGCCCCAGAGGGUGCACAAGCAGGACAGCCACCCUGUUGCAGAGUGUGGUGCUUUCACACCAUGUUCACCCCACCUCAGCCCUCUGGCCCAGACGUCGGUGGCUCCUCUGCCAGGUGAGGUGAGGUGAGGUGAGGUGGGAGCAGACAGUGGAGAAACACCACAAACAGCACAGGUGGUCGGCCAGGGCCACGAGCCCUUCAGCUCACCGAUGCCGAGACCCCACAAUCCCCACAACAAACCUGCAAGGUCAGAAUAAUUGCGCACGUGUACGGACGACUAAGCUGAGGCCCCUUCCUCCUUCACCUCCGGAAUGCCACCUGAGCGCAAAGGCUUUGGGACACAAAGCACUCAGCAGUCGGCAGUGGAGGCACAGCCCAGGAUCAAGACCCUGGGCUUCCUGUCCCAGGCUCCUCAACCUGCAGGCGGCCACACAGCAAGAAGACCCUGGGAAGUUAAAGAACGAGGCGCUCCUGCUUCCCCCACCCUCAACGGCCAGCAAGGACACAAAGGCAGCCCAGGGCAGGGCCAGCCGCCAGCCACAAGGCCCCUCCAGAACCCAAGGUCCAGUGGAGACUCUGAAAGGGCUGAUUGCAGGGCCCCCACGGGGUCCACACACCAGACACAGAGGCCCAUGCAGAAAGGCGGUAAGGGGCCCCCCUGGGGUCUGCACACCCGACACAGAGGCCCUGCGAGAGGGAGGCAUGGAGCGCCCGCGGUGUCGGCACACCAGGAUUCACAGCCCGGCUCUCCACCCCCAGCUGACCUCGCUGUGAAGAGAUGGUUUGUGCUGAGAGCUUAGCAAGGCCGUCGUCUACCGAGUGCUUCCCACCACAGCCCAUGCGCAGGCAUGAGAGUCAUGCCUCCCGCAGGCCACAGCUUCACUCAUGCAAGGACAUUCUGGGGGCCGGGACGUCCUAGCCAGUGGCUAGAACUGGGUGUGACCAUGGGCCCCCUUGGCUGGGGAGAAAAGGAGGUGCCCCUAGAUCCCAAGUCCCCUGGGGCCGCAGCAAAGGGAGGAGGACCUUGCAUCACUCCAGGGUGCCACGUGGACGAACAGAGGUAACAUUGGGAGUGUGGCUGGCAGUGUUGGACAUUCAGAACAUGUCUGCCCAAAACAAACAUGGCCUUCGCUUCUCCCAGCUCCCAGAAACAAAGUAAACAGAAGGAUCACGUCUGGACACCAGGGACCAGCCCCUGUUACAUCCCUGUCCCCCCCAGGCCAGAGCCUGACCACUCCGUGUCACCUGCCUCUACUCCUGUAGUGACUGUCAACUUUUUGGAUUUCAGAAAGCCAAACCAGCAAGGGAAGCCUUUUCCCGGGGGGUAGAGGUGUCUCUCCUACACACACCCCUACCCCAGGGUCUGAGAUGACAUCCCAAAUCAAACCCGGUAUUCUGCAGAGAUACACAAAGGUUCAAACUACAGACAGCCUUGUAUCAGCUGUAAAGGGGGGCCAGAUUUUGCUGCAAAAGAAAAAACCCAGUAUCCCCUCGCUCAGCCCACUGUGUCACCAAGAGGGAGGGUGGGCGGCUGGCCGAAGAGGGCUCCAUUUUAUAGUCCAGGAAGGGGUGGCCUGGGCCCCACAGCUGGUGGGGCAGUGGCACUGGAUCUGAAGCAAAGCUGGGCACUGGAGGCUGUGCCUUGGGCCGGUGUGCUGGCAGCGCCUGCUGGAGGAGCCAAGGGGCACUGAUUCAACACUGACUGUAUUUCCGGAACCAGAGUUAGUAUUGGGGGUAUG